GUAAUUUGUCCUUCAAAAAAAAUCUUUUGCAGAUGAAAAGAACCGGAGAAAAAUGGAAACUCGUGAUGAGAAGAAGCGGGCCUACGCUUGAGAAUUGAACUAUCCGCCCAGCCCACCGGCGGCCUCACAUUCAUCAUCGUAGGCAUAGAUAAGGCUACAUCUCCAUGACUACAUACAUCACUAUGAUUGGUGAUUGAUUGAUGAAGAACAAGAAGAACAACCUCAAACCCUAGAAAGAACUUUCUAGAACUUACGUUUCUGCAAACUGAAUCAACCAUUUUCAGCAUCAUCAUCAUCCGAAGCUGUAUGAGUAGUCAGGUAAUUCAGCUAGAGGACGAUCGGUGGUGGUUCAAGGGCAAGCAACCAUGGGUCUGGUUAUCAUUUCUCAGCCACCGUCUUCGUCUGUACACUUCACUCUUUCUCCAUUACUUCUUCCCCAAUCUCAUUCUUCUUCUUUACGCCGUCGCUUCUCUGCUCGUCGAUGGUUGAAUCCACAAUUUACCCCACGCAGGCUGGAAAGUUUUAAUUAUAGAUGUUCAAUCACAGACACUGAAGUCUUCAAUCAUGUUGACACUGAUGAAGAGGUUCAGGCAGAAUUUUCAACUGCUGCUUCGAAUUGUUCAGUCCCAAUUGUUCAUAUCAAAUCUGAUAUCCUCGAGACUGAAUCUUUGAAUUUACUGGCUGAAGACACUUUUGUUGACACUCUUUUGACAACGUUGCCAGUCUUAUCAGAGGAGGAGCAGAAUGUUCUUGCUGCAACUCCUGCCCAUCCAGCGGGGUUGUACGCCCUGUAUGCUGGUUGCAUGAUUGGGAAUCUGGUGGAACAGCUUUGGAAUUUUGCUUGGCCUGCUGCUAUUGCAUUGCUUCAUCCAAGCCUUCUUCCAGUGGUGGUCAUGGGUUUCUUCACUAAGGUUGCAGUAAUUGUUGGAGGUCCUUUGGUCGGUAAACUUAUGGAUCAUUUUCCCAGAGUACCUGCAUAUAAUUGUUUGACUAUUGUCCAGGCAGCUGCUCAGCUGUUGUCAGUUGGAAUGAUAAUUCAUGCCCAUACUGUUCAUCCCUCCCAUGCAUCAUCAAUGCUUCCCCGUCCUUGGUUUGUUGUAUUAGUUUUAGCUGGUGCUGUCGAGAGGCUAUCUGGAUUGGCUCUAGGGGUUGCAAUGGAGCGUGAUUGGGUUGUACAGUUAGCGGGAACAAAUAGGCCUAUUGCUCUUGCCCAGGCAAAUGCUGUUCUUAGUCGAAUUGAUCUUCUCUGUGAGAUUGCUGGAGCAUCAUUGUUUGGCAUUCUUCUAUCUAAAUAUGAACCUGUGACCUGCUUGAAGCUUGCUGCUGGUUUAAUGAUAUGGGCACUGCCUGUUGUGGUUGUUCUCAUGUGGUUAACCAACAAGCUUUCUAUGGGUGUUCUUGACCGAGCCAAAUCUCCACAAACAUGUUGCACAAGUGCCAUGGGAGGACCUCAACUGGAUACUGAGAAUAUAGUGAAAAUGAGCGUGGAGGCUAUCAAGCAUGGGUGGGUUGAGUACAUGCAGCAGCCUGUGCUCCCUGCUAGCCUAGCAUAUGUGCUUCUUUGCUUUAAUGUUGUCCUUGCUCCUGGUGGGUUGAUGACGGCAUUUUUAACACAACGUGGUUUAAAUCCAUCGAUCAUUGGGGGUUUUAGUGGACUAUGUGCUUUCAUGGGUGUUGCAGCGACAUUUGUAUCUGCAUACAUGGUCAAGAGACUUGGUAUUCUGAAGGCUGGAGCAGUUGGGUUGAUAUUACAGUCUUUACUUCUUACCAUUGCUGUUGCUGUAUGUUGGAGUGGACCUUUUACUUCACAGAGUCCACUUCUAUUCUUCUUGUGUUUGAUUGUAUUGUCAAGAUUGGGUCACAUGUCAUAUGAUGUCGUAGGGGCACAGAUUCUUCAAACUGGGAUCCCAGCAUCCAAAGCAAAUCUAAUUGGGACAACAGAGGUUUCAAUUUCAAGUUUGGCAGAGUCUGUAAUGUUGGGAGUUGCAAUAAUCGCAAAUGAUGUUUCAUCUUUUGGAUUUCUUGCGAUGCUGUCGCUUUUAUCGGUGGUUGGUGCAACGUGGUUGUUCUGCCGAUGGCUGGUGAAUCCUACAGAUGCACAAAGAAGUCUUUUCUCUUUUGAUCCUCUCUUUUGAUUCCACAUUUGCACAGGUGGUAAUCUUAACAUAUACUGACUAGAGCAAAGAUAUUGUUAUCUGCCACUUUCAAUGGCAACACAACAAUUAUAUCAAUUCUAGAAGAAGCCUACCAAGGACUAGUCGGUCAGAGGUGCAGGAUUUGGCUUUCUCCAUUGAGGUCGGUCUUUCAUCUCUUAUAUAUUUGUUUUGGGAAUCUUCUUGAAUUAUUAUUACUGUUAAGUUUUGUUGUAUACAUUUUUAAUGCACUGUUCAACAUUAGUACGAGGUACCAAAAAAAAAAAAACCUUGCGGCAGUGUUGUCUAUUCUUUUCUUAAAGAAUGGUACAGCAACUUGCAGAAAGGAACCCUCCUAUAGCAGGGAUAUGAAAAAUGUUUGGGACCCCACAAAAGAGAAUCUCCAGACUUCCAUUGAUGUAUUGACUAUUGAUAAGUUUAAAUUUUUUUUUGAAAAUUGUAUCUGACAGUGACAUGAAUAACUUAAAUCAUUUUAAGACUUGUGAGAUUGUGUUU
This is an RNA transcript of Camellia sinensis, 2648 nucleotides long. It is a transcript of the gene named iron-regulated protein 3, with no coding region annotated. The record is from RefSeq and is a predicted model, not a curated record. NCBI's taxonomy places the organism in Eukaryota, Viridiplantae, Streptophyta, Magnoliopsida, Ericales, Theaceae.